Molecule: long non-coding RNA, 936 nt
Organism: Humulus lupulus (European hop)
Lineage: Eukaryota; Viridiplantae; Streptophyta; Magnoliopsida; Rosales; Cannabaceae
Exons: 2
Source: RefSeq, a predicted model, not a curated record
UUCUCAUAAUUUAUGAAUUUUUUUGAAUAAAAACAUCGAAUGUAUGGAUAAUAAAAUGGAAAGUAAAACACGGAGAUCAAUUCACCACUGAUUAAUUUCAUUUAGAAAACAAAGGGUAUAAUCGACAAAAUAAUCACCUAAAAAUUGCGACUAGCUCCAACCUCGGACCUCCCUCCUCACCUCCGAUCUCCAUCUGGAGUAUCAUGGCACUCUGCCUAUCGUGGUUUGUAAAGCACACCAUGUGGCCCAGAGCUUUCACCGUUGCCACCAACCAGUGAUGCCUUCCUUGAUCCAGCAACUCUCCAUCACAUCGGCGACGCUCCUUUGACUCUGAAGACGCCUUCCUCAGUCUCAACUAGUCCCUUUGUUUGGUAAAUAAACCAAUCCUUUUCCCUUUCACAGCCUCAUUCCAAUCGACAAAGAUGUGAUCAAAUUGAAUUGGUUCGUCUUCUUCGAUGAAGUUUGUUUUCUAGUUGAUCUCCAUUGACAAAUAUAUCUGACAUUCCAUGGAAAAUUACGAGUAUUUACUGAGCAUUGGACAUGUCACUGGUACAUGACUAGAUCAAAGGGACUUAUCUAUUGUAUCUUACUGCUGCUAUUAGAGAAGAAUUUCACUGCUUAUAUGCUACAAGGAUUAAGUUUGUGCAACUGCACGUGGUUCUUGUUAGAAGUUAGGAUAGUUUUGUUAACCAAUUGUUUGUGUUGUUUAUCUUAACAGUAGUUCUUCUCAUUUUCUUCUAGUUAUUUUAGAAUUUCACACUACCACUUUAAAUCAAUGCCAUUUCAGUUUUUUUUUCUUAUAGGUAGAAAACUUUUUUUGACUAAUUGUAUCCACUUGAGGUUGAAGGCUACUUUUGAUUUAAUAAUGAGAAAUGAGAAUGGUCUAUUUCAAUAUUUAUAUGCAAGGGUAAAUAAAAUAUGUCAAAGCAAUAUCUA